GUAACGAACAACGCCCAGAGCUUCCCACACGUUUGCGACAUUUGCCAUUACUGUCGCAAAACAUACCUUUUCAUACCUUUGCGGCAGCAACGUUGACUGGAUUUGCAUUUGACAAGGGUGCGUUUGCGUGUGAAAUAGCAGGCAUUCAAACUAAGUGAAGAUCUGGGAUUCCAUAUACACAACAAUACAGGUGUUGUGUCUGUCCUGUUUCAGGUAAUGCUUCUGGCUCUUGGAGAUUCUGUGAAUUUGAACUUUCAAUUGUAACACAGUUCAUUACAGAGCAAUUUGACUAUUUCAAUGAGUUUCUAAGCUUCCUAGUCUUAGAAAUCAGACCUUCAAACAUUUGACAUAAAUGUGAGAUGAUUUGACUGAGGAGGAGUCCUUUGAAUAUGACUAAACAGCUGUUCACGAUAAAGAGCUUUAAGUGGGACAUUUAACAUGGAGAUCCCAGGGGAAUGUAUCUCUGUAUCCUUUUUUUGAGACAUAGUGGCAACUCAGUACACUGUGAGAGAAAUAUAGACAGUGGUACACAGGCAAGAGUGGAAUGCCAAGAGAAAAAUAAAAUCACUGAACAGCGUGACUCCGUGGGCACUGGAUCAUCUAUGGGACACUGGACCUCAAACGGAUAUGAAAUAUCAAAAGGUAUUUGAGCAGCAGAGGGAUCCUAAAGAGCAGUGAGUCCCCAGCAUAAACAUGCUGCUGGUCCAGUGGGUUUUUUUCACCCAUGCCAAAAUAUGACAGCUUUGUUUUUCAUGUAGGAUGCUCUUUCAUGUUACAGCAUGCAAAGAAUGGAAUGUAUUUCCUUUCUAAACUAUAAGUGCUUACAAACAACAACCCUUAUUUUCACAGUGGUAUGUACUGGCUGAAAAGGUCAAGUUUAGAAAUAAUGAGCUAUGUGGGUUGUUCCUAUACCACCUACUGUCAACUGUCAUCUUUCAUCAGCUGUGAAUGAGGAAAUGUCUCCAUUAAAACAUCUCAGUGUCUCAUCUCA
This is a long non-coding RNA of Lates calcarifer (barramundi perch), 991 nucleotides long. RefSeq lists it as uncharacterized. Lineage: Eukaryota; Metazoa; Chordata; Actinopteri; Centropomidae. The transcript is spliced from 2 exons. The record is from RefSeq and is a predicted model, not a curated record.